Molecule: long non-coding RNA, 2083 nt
Organism: Solanum lycopersicum (tomato)
Lineage: Eukaryota; Viridiplantae; Streptophyta; Magnoliopsida; Solanales; Solanaceae
Source: RefSeq, a predicted model, not a curated record
UCCAAGAAAUGAGGACUUAAAAGAAGUCAAAAGAAAGGGGUGAAAUAAAAGAAAAACUCCAAGAAAUAAGGAUUAAAAAACAUUGAAACAAAGGGGGUGUGGAAAAAAGAAGAAAAAACUCUGAAAAAUGAGAAUUCAAAAAAAGUCGAUAAAGGGGGAGGACAAUGAAGAGGAUCUAACGCCAAAGGCGUAUUAAUCAUUAAGGUCACAAAUUCAAUGUGACGCUCAAGGAGGAAUUAAGUCACUCUUAUCCCAAAUAAAUAUCUUACCCAUCCCUAAGCCUACGUUACAAAUCAACUCCCAAAUUUCCAGCAGUUUUAUGGCGAGCCAGCAGCUUCUCAUACAAAUACCCAAUAAAACAUCAGUUUCAAAGAACAUAAAGUGUUCAAGAGAAAAAUGACACUUUGUACAUAUUCUCUUGUGGAUCUUUCCUUAAAUUUUAUUAAUCAUGUUGCUAGCUAUAGUGAUAUUGUGUAUUCUAACUGUUCCUUUUCGAAUAAAAGGAAACACGGAGACAUCAAGAUGAUGACAUUUUCAAGACAUAUAAGUCAUCCACCUCGUAACAAUGGAAAAUCAUUGGGUCAUCCAUCAGUUACAUUUUCAUUGCUUUUUUUUCAUUUUUUAAAGGAUAAUUGCAUUUUUCAUUUGCCAAGAAGGUCAUUGCAUUUUUCAUUUCCCGAAAGAAUAAUUGCAUUUUUCAUUUGCCAAGAGGUCCAUUGAAAUUUUUAUUUACUGAAAAUGUCAUUACAUUUUUCAUUUUUCGAAAGGAUAAUUGCAUUUUUAUUUGCCAAGAGGGUCAUUGUAUUUUUUAUUUACCAAAAGUUCAUUACAUUUUUCAUUUUCUGAAAGAAUAAUUGCAUUAUUCAUUUGCCGAGAAGGAAUUUGCAUUUAAGUCGCACCUAUUCAGAGGUGAAGGAUGUGUGUCCUAUCUUUGCAACGUUCAAGUUGGUGGAAACUUGCAUUGAAACAUACUUCCAUUUAAGCCGUAUCUAUUCGAUGGUGAAGUAUGUGCACCCUAUCUUUUCAACGUUCAAGUCGGUGGAACUUGCGUUGAAAGAUGUUUGCAUCCAAGUCACAUAUAUUAUGAGGUGAAGGAUGUGAGUCCUAUAUUUUCAACGUUUUAGUUGGUGGAAACUUAUGUUGAAAGAUAUUUGUAUUUUAAGUCGCAUCUAUUCGGUGGUGAAGGAUGUGCAACCUAUCUUUUCAAUAUUCAAGUAGGUGGAACCUUGCGUUUAAAGAUAUUUGUAUUUAAGUCUUAUCUAUUCGGUGGUGAAGGACAUGCAACCUAUCUUUCAAACAUUCAAUUAGGUGGAAACUUGCGUUGAAAGAUAUUUGCAUUUAAGUCGCAACUAUUCGGUGGUGAAGGAUGUGCGCCCUAUCUUUUCAAUGUUCAGUUCGAUAGAAACAUGCAUUAAAAGAUAUUUGAUUUAAGUAGCAUCUAUUAGAUGGUGAAGGAUGUUCACCUUAUCUUUUCAACGUUAAAGUCGAUGGAAAUUUGCAUUGAAAGAUACUUGCAUUUAAGUCACAUCUAUUUGAAGGUGAUGGUGAUGUGCACCAUAUCUUUUCAACGUUCAAGUCGGUGGAAAAUUGCGUUGAAAGAUAUUUGCAUUUACAUUUAUUUGGUGCUGAAGGAUGUGCACCCUAUCUUUUGAUCAUUCAAGUCAGUGGAAACUUGUGUUGAAAGAUAAUUGCAUUAAAGUCACAUCUAUUUGGAGUUGAAGGAUUUGCACACUAUCUAUUCAAAGUCCAAGUCGGUGGAAACUUGCAUUGAAAGAUAUUUGAAUUUAAGUCGCAUUUAUUCUGAGAACAUCCAAGAGGAUGCAUACUCGGUGGAGCCAUAUGUGUGGACUACUUCAACAAGGAUGCAACACAAUUUGGAACCUUUUGGAUGCAAGUCUGGGAUCGACUUUCACCACAUUUUUAUAUAACGGGCAUGUGUUCGACCAAAAUUGGUUUUGUCACUUUUCGUUGUCCACAAUUACUAUUAUCAAUCAUAUUGAACGAAAGGGACAAUUGUUGACACCCAAUUUUGGCACAAUAUUAUCUCAAUUCAUGACUUAUAUACAUUUAAUAGUUCAGAAUA